This 460-nucleotide ribosomal RNA is filed under the name uncultured bacterium. Its description in RNAcentral is "partial 16S ribosomal RNA". It matches the Rfam family "Bacterial small subunit ribosomal RNA", at positions 338 to 795 of the family's 1533-position model. The record is from RNAcentral.
CCUACGGGAGGCAGCAGUGAGGAAUAUUGGUCAAUGGGCGGGAGCCUGAACCAGCCAAGUCGCGUGAGGGAAGAAGGUCCUGUGGAUUGUAAACCUCUUUAGGCGGGGAGCAAUGCCGGGCACGCGUGCCCGGAGGGAGAGUACCCGCAGAAUAAGCAUCGGCUAACUCCGUGCCAGCAGCCGCGGUAAUACGGAGGAUGCGAGCGUUAUCCGGAUUUAUUGGGUUUAAGGGGUGCGUAGGCGGCGUUUUAAGUCAGCGGUAAAAUGUCGGGGCUCAACCCGGGCCGGCCGUUGAAACUGGGGAGCUUGAGUGGGAGAGAAGUAUGCGGAAUGCGUGGUGUAGCGGUGAAAUGCAUAGAUAUCACGAAGAACCCCGAUUGCGAAGGCAGCAUACCGGCGCCCCACUGACGCUGAGGCACGAAAGCGUGGGGAUCGAACAGGAUUAGAUACCCCUGUAGUC